This is a non-coding RNA of Cinara cedri, 515 nucleotides long. NCBI's taxonomy places the organism in Eukaryota, Metazoa, Arthropoda, Insecta, Hemiptera, Aphididae. The record is from the annotation of a GenBank genome assembly.
AUUGUUCCGUUCCCUUCUUCCCCUUAAUAAAUUCUGGAACGCCGAUGGUAUUGCGGCGACAGUCUAUGGUACAACGCGACCUUAUGAAAAUAAAAAUAAACCGUAUACCUUGCACUACAUCACGCACGUGUUGCGUGUUCCGUUUUCCGAGCGCCAUUUUUUUUAGCGUCUUAACCUGCCCCACGGAGUUAUGACAUAGAUAGCCUACUUUGUACCAGGGUCCCAUACACGCAGUAACCGCCGUAACCACAAUUCGCCAAUGCACGGUCAUUAUAAUAUUAUAUACGUGCGUAACGUAACGCCAAGGACGUGGCUAAUACGACUACAGCGCGCAAGGAGAAGUAAAGGGGAGACACAAUUUCGUCACGUAGAUAUUUACAAUGAAACAGAAAAAGAAGCUUACAUUUUGUUUUAUUUCGUUAAGAGGAUUACUACAAUAUAGCAUUAACCGUCUCUUUCUAACGGACGAUGUAGACAAAAUUGCAUUUUCGGUGUUCCUAUGAUGCUUUGGUUCU